This 66-nucleotide transfer RNA is filed under the name Marmota monax (woodchuck). RNAcentral's name for it is "tRNA.Ala". The record is from RNAcentral. Lineage: Eukaryota; Metazoa; Chordata; Mammalia; Rodentia; Sciuridae.
GGUUGUGCUCAGUGGCAGGGUGCUCACCUAGCACGUGCGAGGUCCUUGGUUCGAUUCUCAGCACCA